CACCGCGGUCAUACGAUGUCGUGCCCAAGUAGAUAAUCCACGGCGUAAAGUGUGGUUAGGGAGACACUACAACUAAAGCUAAACGCUGACCAGGCCGUGAUACGCAUUUGGCAGCAUGAAACCCCACCACGAAAGUGGCUUUAAACAAACCUGAACCCACGAAAGCCAGGAAA
Molecule: ribosomal RNA, 173 nt
Filed under: Notolychnus valdiviae
Lineage: Eukaryota; Metazoa; Chordata; Actinopteri; Myctophiformes; Myctophidae
Description: partial 12S rRNA
Source: RNAcentral